GCCUGGCAUGGUGAGAGUGCACAGAAGCUGCUUAGGAAGGCAGUUUUGACCCUUCUUCCUCCUCCAAAUGGACUUGAGGGACAUGUGUACACCCUGCCCAGGCCCUUAAGGAUGUUCUGGCUUUACAUCUUGUUUCUAGUUGUCCUGUGAUCUGCCUGAGUGAGGAACCACCACCUGCAGACCCUAGGCAGGUCCCCUAGGCCUUCUCCUCACCAGGUGACAGGCACGCAGGCUGAGAGUAACCCACAUAAAUCGAGGUCGGUGUACUGGGCAGAUUCAGGAUGCGGGAGUCCUCUGCCUCAGGGGGCCCCAGCCCAAUCCCAGGCCUAGGAACUGGGUCAAAUCUGGAGAUAAACACAGGAGUCAUUCUCAAAGGCAGAGCUCACUUCCCCGCCAGGCCAGCAAGUUCCCAAAAGCAUCCAGCUUUGCUUGGGAGGGAAGACAAAGGAAACAGAUAUGGGGGGCGGGGUGAGGGAGGCCCUCUCCUCCAAUGGGCUCCUUUCUGUGAAAUUCUAGCAUCUGCAAAUUUAUUUCUGCCAGCAAUUUACCUUUUCUGCAAGCAGGAGAAAUCUGUUCUUGUUUAUGAGUCACUGCUUUAUGAGGAAAAUUAGGAACAGAGGCAUCUGCAGUUUGGGAAUAAGACAGAGAGGUGAAGUUGAGGGGCAGGGCUCAUAAAACACAAGCCCUGGUGUAAAAUUCAGUGUGGUCUUACUCCCAUUCAACCAGAGGCAGUCAUUUUUGUUGGCUGGACGUGUGUGACUUUAUUAAUAGUCACUCAGCACACUUUUAGAUCAAGCAAACACUUUCUAAGUAAAUAAACUUUAAAAGCUAUACUUGACACAAUGUCAUAAAGUGGAAAAUGUGCUGACCAUAGAAACUUGUUAAACCAAAAAUGUUCUGGGCAAGGACUGAGCGCUAGAUCUAUAGCUAGGGCCUGGGGUCCUUCUUUCUGGGAGUUAUGCCAUCAUUCUGUUUGCUGUGGAGGUUAUUGGCACUGGGGAAUCAACCUGGGGUCCUUUGGGAAUUUCCUCUUCCCUGAUGAGUUCUUCGUUUUUUUUUUUUUUUUUCUUUUUGGUACCGGAGAUCGAACUCACAACCUCACACUUGACAGGCAGGCGCCUGGGCCACUGAUCUAAAUCCCUAGCCCCUCUGACAAGUCCGUUGGUCAGGGACUUUGGUUACACUACUUGGUAACAGAGUCCUCCAACUACCCCCCAGUAGUCACAACCUUCCAGUUCAAGACUACAUUUCCCAACUCCCUUUGCAGCUAAUUGUACCAUGUGACUGGGACUCACCCAAUGGGAUGUGAGUGAAAAAUGGCAAAGGAGAACUUCUGAUUUGUGCUCUUAAAAAGGACAGGAGUGUCUUUUGCCCUCCCCAUCCCUGCUUCCUGAUGCCGGAGCCAGACACCACUUGGAGAUGUGGGUAGACCUGCCUUAUCAGCCCUAGACUAUGUACUGCUGAGUCAUCAUAGAGAAGACUAAACUUUUGAUUUGUUUAAAUGAGUGUAUUUUAGAGCUGGGCACGGUGGUGCACACCUGUAACUUCAGUACUUGGGAAGAUUGCCAUCAGUUCAAGACCAACGUGGACUACAUAAUGAAUUCAAGGCCAGCCUGAACCACAUAGCAAAACUCUGUCUCAAAAAGCCAAAACCAAACAAACCAAUCACCCCAAAACCAAAACCAAAACCAUAACAACAACAAAAACAAAACAAAAGCAAGUGUAUUUUUGGACUUGUCUCUUACAACAGCUUAUUUUGUAUCCUGCCUUCUCCAUGGCAAACCUAUCUUGAAGACUAACCCAAACCCUGUAGUGUUAGUUGCUGUAAGGUAGUUCAGCCAGCACCGUGAUCAGGACAACCUUGAGGUGGAAAGCAUGUCAGACCAGCCUUCAAAUCCUUACACCCUCUUCUAUGUGACUGUGAGCAAAUACUGUCACUGCACUGGGGGGAUUUCUUUCUUUCUCUCUUUUUCCUUCCUUCCUCUCUUCUCUCUCUCUUUCAUUGAUACUAGGUUGAAACAUAGACCUUCACAAAGAGCUACCUCCUUAGCUCUUUCUCACUUUUUUUCUUUUGAGACAAGGUAUUGCUAAGUCAUUUAUCUCCCAGGCUGGGUUUAAACUUGUGAGCCCCCUGCCUCAGUUUCCCAGAGUGCUGGAAUUACAAACCUGUGCCAUGGGGCCCAGCUACCUGGGAGGAUUUCAACUAGCGACACUUUUCACAUGGCUACUGGCUGUCUACAUGCCUACGUAACUGAAGCAAAAGUUGUGUGGGGUGAAACUUAGCCAUCUGACCUACACAGUGUACUCUGAUAUUUUUGAUUCCAGUGGUCCUCAAAUUGUGGAGUGAAUUAACAUCGCUUAAGAACUGUGGAAUCAGAAACUGCAGGCGAGGGUCUAACGAUCUUUUAUUUUGAUUUACUUUUUUGUGGCCUUGCGAAUUGAAUCUAAGGCCUUGUGCAUGCCUGGCAAGGGCUGUACCACUGAGUGACAAUCCCAGCUGCUGCAGUUUAUAUUAAACAAACCUUUGUGAUACAGCUAAAGUUUGAUUACUAAUGUUUACUUUAAGAAAAUACUGACUAUCACCUACCAAAUUAAUUUUAUAACCCUCUAAUAGGACACACCACUCACAUGGACUUAGCAGAAAUCUGUUUGCUAUCUGUAUUCUGGCUGCCAUUCAUUUCCUCUUCUAUACAACUUCCCCAGUUUCCUGUUGCUCCAGGGAUAGGUCGGACCCAGGACCGGCUGAAGCAGUGAUUGGCUCAGGGAUGAUCAUGUGACCCUCGAUACCCAAUGAGAUGUAAUCCUGAGACUUUUGCUGGAGAGAGACGUUCUGUUCCUUUGCGGGGAGUUACAGAGCUGUAGGAAGGAGGCUGGGGAGUGUCCAUGCUACUGUUGCCACCACAGGGAACAGUCUGUCUGAUGCUUCGGGCGCAGCUGAGGGAUGCGAGAGACUGUGUGCAGACGUUUUUAGCAUCCUGCAUCAUCUCCUGUCUCUAUGCUCAGGCCCAGUUGUGGUGACAGUCUUGUGUACAGUUAGGAUGUACCCCAGGGGUUUCCAGAGCUGAGGAGUCUGCUGGGCUGAAGAGUCUAGCCCCUGUUAUUUAUUGCAUAAAAUUUGAAAAAACACAUCCUUUUUAUCAUCUGUUCCUCUUUUCUUGUCUCAAUCUUGUUUCUCAUUCUUGCUGACUGUAAUCCCCUCCCAAACAAACUACCUGCAUUCAUGCCCUGGCCCAAGUGUCUGCUCUCAUGGAAAACUAAAUGAACACAAAGAGAUUCUUGGUGACAUUUGAGCAUCUGGAUGCAGCCAUACCUGAAACCAAUUUACUGGACUUUACAGCCUCUUAGAUCUUAGAUCCUGGAAUUACAGGCCUGCGCUACCACACCCAACCAGAAGCAAGCUUUGAAACUAUCUAACAUAACCUACUUGGCGUAUGAACCCCUUGUCCCAAGGCACAAACCCAGAAAGGCUUUGAGCAUCUGUAUGGAAGUGAGGGCACCAACAUCAGCCUUGAGCCAUCUCAAGGACAAGACCUUCUCACUGGGAGAUGAGGAAACCGGGGUUCAGAGGAGGAAGGGACUCAUCCAAGGUCAUGUGGCUAAAUGGGAAAUAGGCAGAGAAACCUUGAGUGAAUUGUCCAGGAAUAGACAGCAGGGGGAAGAUUGGAACUCAGGAUCUUCGACUUCAGAAUCCAGUCUCUUAUGAACACAUUCCUCAUGUUUCUGGCAGGUCUUUGCCUGAUCAAAUCUGAACCCUCCUACCAAGUAUGCAAAGCUCGUGAGGCUUGCGGUCAUCUCGGUGGGUAAGAGGAGAGAGGGUCGUGGACUGGGGCGAGUGGGUAAGAAGACGGGCUCCAAACUGACUACUACCUGCAGACAGAAUGCCAAGACAGGUGCCAUAGGAGCUCAAGGAGGGCACAGCCUCCUCCCUCAGAGAUCUCCCCUGUCUGAUGGAGGAGAAGAGAUCUCUGCCUCUGGAGACCUUCCAGUCUGAUGGGAGAGGCAGAGAACACACACACACACACACACACACACACACACACACACACACGCAUACCACACACACAACACACAUGCACACGCACACACACACACACAAAGACACGCAUGCACGCGCAUAUUAAUAAAAUAUGCCACUUCCUGGAAGGAGGUGUGGGAAAGCUUCCUGGGCUUUGCAUGGUGAGCCAGCCUAGUAACUGAACCCCACCCCUCGGGUGGGAGUCGUUAUCAGCACAGCCUUUCAGUGGGCUUCCUAGCCAUCAUGAGGCACUCGUUUUUAGCAGAGAAGAAAGACUGUUGUCAGAGGACAGGAAUAGCUUUCGAACUGUUCCCCACAAGCUAGUGUGCAACCGCCCAGGGCUGAGAAGGCAGUGCACACCCACAACGCCCUCUGCUGGACAGAUGGAGCAGCGCUGGGGGCUUGAGCGCCCAGGCCAUCUGUGUAGAUAGCCCCUGCUUUCUUGUUCUGGGGCACCCUAGUUGCUGAAGCCAUCAGUGCAGGGGAGAUGAGGACUGGGCCGGCACCUGAGAGGGUCCAUGUCUGCCACCUGGAGGACCCAGUCCUUUGAAAGCACCUCGUCUCAGGAAGCCAUUGUGAAUUAUCUCCUUUUCGCCAUCUGACUUCAGGAACUGCGGCUGGCCACCAUCCUAGAGUCCCUCUCCCACCUAAGGACCCUUCCCAUCAAUUUUGACCCCUGGUGACCCAUUCUCAACGUAUUACAGGGAGCAUGGGCCCCUUUCUUUCUCCAGAGCCCUGGAUCUGGGGGAGCCAGACUUUGGGUGCAGGCGAUCUGGAUUCCAGGAGGGAUUUAUGAUCAGCAAUUCCUAGUGAUGCUCAGAGGAGAUGAGGCAAUGGAGGAUUCUCGACAGAACCAGAGAGCUAGGAAGAGCUGAGCCAGGACCCACCUUGGUAUUUCCUCCUCAUCUCAGUCCAGCCUAACGACGCAUUGAGCCCAGGGAGCUCACAUUUUUGGAAGGAAGUGGAUACCACAGGAAGGAAGACCGCAGAGCCCCGGAAACCUCAGGCACUGUUUUCUGGAGAGAACCCAAGAAUCCUGAGCCAACGCGUCUCCCAAAGGCAGUGUGUCCCAUUCAUGUAGUUCAGGGAGGUGUUCAGGGGCCUUUGGGUCCCCCGAAGCUCUGAGCUGCAGGGGGGGCAGUGAGGGCCUUCUGUGUCUCAGGGAUGAAAUCAUCUGGGGGGCCACACUGGUGAGCAGGGUUCUGUUGCCUGUUUAAUUUCAGCCUGUUUCCACUCAAGUCAUCCCUGUGAGGGCUACUGGCGUGUGGAAGAAAUGUCUUUGGCCUGUUGGAAAUUCUUUUCUCAGUCACCUCUUCUCCCUGAAAUCUACAACAGGAUGACUAUCUUUAAGGAAAUAACAAAAGUUGCUCCGGGAUUUCCAAAUGUUUAACUUUGGGGCCAGUUCGUGUGGGUCCCAGGACAACAUGCUAUUUUUGAAUAAAUAUAUUGGGUGAAUAAA
Molecule: long non-coding RNA, 5474 nt
Organism: Cavia porcellus (domestic guinea pig)
Lineage: Eukaryota; Metazoa; Chordata; Mammalia; Rodentia; Caviidae
Exons: 5
Source: RefSeq, a predicted model, not a curated record